Molecule: ribosomal RNA, 479 nt
Filed under: Blastocystis sp. subtype 2
Lineage: Eukaryota; Bigyra; Opalinata; Blastocystidae
Description: SSU rRNA
Rfam family: Eukaryotic small subunit ribosomal RNA
Source: RNAcentral
GGAGGUAGUGACAAUAAAUCACAAUGCGGGACUGUUAGUCUUGCAAUUGGAUUGAGAACAACGUACAACUCUUAUCGAUAAGCCAUUGGAGGGCAAGUCUGGUGCCAGCAGCCGCGGUAAUUCCAGCUCCAAUAGCGUAUAUUAACGUUGUUGCAGUUAAAAAGCUCGUAGUUGAAGUGAGGGAGUGUGUGGCAGGACCCAGCUAGUCUGGAGUGUCGCAACCUCCCCCUUCCAAUCGGUGUAGUGGGGUAUUCAGUUAUUUCACUACUCCUUUGGUCGUUUACUGUGAGAAAAUUAGAGUGUUCAAAGCGGGCGUUUGUUUGAAUAGAUUAGCAUGGAAUAAUGAUUGAAGGCUUUCGUGUUCGAUUUGAUUGGUUUGUUCAUGGAAGCAAGGUUAAAAGGAACAGUUGGGGGUAUUCAUAUUCACUAGUUAGAGGUGAAAUUCUCGGAUUUAUGGAAGAUGAACAGGUGCGAAAGCA